This is a long non-coding RNA of Neogobius melanostomus (round goby), 1575 nucleotides long. NCBI's taxonomy places the organism in Eukaryota, Metazoa, Chordata, Actinopteri, Gobiiformes, Gobiidae. The record is from Ensembl.
AGUCAAUCAGCGGAAACGGUGUAAAGUUGGAGCCAAAUUCAUCUGACAGGUUUGGAAAAGGUACAUGUCAUGUUUCCCACAAUGAACAUGAUGCCAACCAUGCCACCGCAGACUGUUUGCGCUUGCUUUAAUUGCACUGUAAACCAAGCUUUGAUUGCAAGCAGGCAAGCUUGCAUGCUACAUAAUUAUCCCUCCUUCCAUGUGGUUCCCACGCCUGCUGUGGCACCCCCACAACCCAGGACGGGACAACCUAGAACGACCAACGAAGAUGUGACCAGUACCGAUAGGACUCUUAGUCUGCAAAAGUCUGUCUACUGGUUGGUGUAUGAAAACAUAUACCUUGCUCUAACUGAUUCUAAACUUCUUGGCUGGUACCUGGGCCUCUCUCCUGAGGAUCGAAAGCUUAUUCAAGAUGAAGGAGGGUUUCAUCGGUUCUUAAAACGACACCCUGCCUUGGAACUAUCAAAGCACCACAUUUAUGUGAAAAAAGCGAUUCCUGAAGAAUCAAGAGAGCAGUUUCCUCUUUGCAGCACUACCAGAGGUUUCAACCAACAUUCAAGCUACAACCAACCUGUUUUGCAAAGAGUAGACCCUAAAGUACAAGAGCUCAGUAAACUGACAUGGCCGAUGGCGAACUCUAGUGGUGGGUAUAAUGCACUUACAAACCCAGUCAACUUUGCCAAUUUGUCUUUGGAUGUGGAACUGGAAAGACAAACGCAAGCAGACAAUCCGCAAAGUACUUUGAUUGGAUCUGAGCAACACCGCAGUAGACACGAUGCCUUGUUGCGAGAAUCGAGACAUGAAGCCAGUUUGAAAGAUGAGUCUUUCUACAGCAUCCUGGAGGCAGAUAACAGCAUUGUGUUUUGCGUCCCAAAAGAGAGUCCAGAUACUUCUGGGAUUCACUCGGAAAAUAGUGUGUCAAAUAAGGAACCAUCUGUCUUUGAGUCCAUGAUCAGGACCACUGAAGACAGGUCGACCUCCCCCAUACCCCAUGUCUGCACCUGUGAUGCUCUGGUUGGCACUGAGCAAACGAUGACAAUGUCAGCAAUGACCCAAACUGAAUCACCACCUACAAUAGAUAAGCAUAUGAAUACAGAAGUUUACAUGUUAGACCUGGACUACGUUACUCAGGAGUUCAUUACAAUCAAGACUGAGAGAGAUAAACUACUUGAAAAGGUGAAGAUGCAAAGAACCACUUCACCGUUUGCAAAGAUGGUGAAUGACCUUAAAAAACUGGAGAUGGACUAUUCCAAGAUGAGGGAGAAAAUCCUGUCGGGGAUUUCUCUUCAGGACCUCAAAUCACUGUCUUUUGACUUGGAGGAAGCAUCUAAAGAUCCAGCUGUGGCAAAGAUAACUGGUGAUACUCAAAAAGCUUCACUUUGCUCUCAGCAGCAAGGAACCUCUGCGAAUGAUGAGCCUGCUGCUAUCAGUGACAACUCCUUACUGGAGAGUCAGACAUUGAGAGAUGCCAAUGGAAAAGAUCCCAGUGAAAUAAAGCGGGCUGUUACCCGCAUCCCUAAGGAGAGAUGCCUAACCCAAAAACAGAAGGAAAACCCUCAGGUAACUUAUGACUAA